CAAUCAUGUAUGUAUAUGUCUAUAUAGUUCUGGCCUCCUAUUGACUUUUUUUGCAUCAGACCAAUUUGGUUUUCUUCUCCAGUAGCCUCGAAAUGGACUGUGGCACUAAUUUUUAUUGUAUUCGCGUGAUUUCUAGAGUAUCGAAAUGGCUCUAAACAAGGUAAACUAUUUGGAUUUGAUUUUCCACAUUCUACUAUCAAAUAACUUCAUUUGAUCGAGUAAUUGUGUAAGUUAUUACAGUGUCAUUUAGUUUUUUUUUUAUUUGGUUUUUUUCCUUAAUUUGUGCUACUCAAAUUUUUAUUUUUUGAUUCACGGCUAGCCUUGAGUUGUUCUCUAUAUAUGUUUGUAUUGGAUGUAUAUCAAAAGGUUGAACCCCAAUCUUAAAGUUCCCACCGCCCCUGUCCUAGAGUAUCGUGAGGGAGGUAAAUCGCAGGUUAUGCCUCCAAGGGCACAGGGUGAAAGGCUGCUUGUACACUUGCACUUACCCGAGAGCCAAAUCUAUAUUUUAGGAUUCGAACCCGUGGUAGCCUCAAGCAAAGCUGGAUUUCUCCACCCUCCCCUUUUUACCACUUGGAGAUGUGCCCUGGGGGCUUGUAUUGGAUGUAUAUCGUUAUUACGUUGUGUUGUUGAAAUGGAUGCAGAAAUAAAUGUAAAAUCAGGAAUUUGGGUUGGGUUGUAGGUGAUUAAGUUCUAAAAAUGGUAAUCAAAUCAAACUUAUUACAUCAUUUAGUUUUUAGAAAAAUUAGGUGGAGUUUUUCUAUGGUGUAGUCCCCUACCCCAUCUUCCCGAUAGUAUUUUUUAACUUAAUAGGAGGGUUUACUUCUGAUGCUUGAUGUUAGCCCGACAAAGCAGGCUGUGCUGCAAGAAGUCCAAAAGGUUUGUUUUAUGUUAGUGCAAAAGAAUGUCCAUUAAUUAGUUUAUUAUUUGAAUUUCUUUUUGCCAUCAACGUCUCUGUUCAAUGUACUGUGAAUUUUGGCAUUGUCGUAUUUAAUCUAAACUUCUAAUAUCUCUUUUUGCAUUUACGUAGAUGAUAUUCAACCAGAAUGAUGAAUUAGGACUUGUCGUAUUUGGAACCAAGGUAUUUCCGAGUGUCUGAAUUAGUGUGAUUCAAGAAGAGGAAUUAUAUUAUUUUUUGGUCAAAUCUUUGCUCCCUCUCUACUGUAGUUGUUGAGUUUUAAUUCGCAAGAUAGGAGUCCGUCUAAUUGUUAUUUGUAACUUUAUAUGUGCAAUAUCAUCGGACCAGAAUCAUGGAAAUGUUCAUAUUUGAUUUCAUUGUUUUUUUUUUUUUUUAGUUUAUCAAAAUUAAAUGUUGAACCUUAUAGUUGUAUUUUCAUUUCAUUUGCUUCUGAUAUAGAAAUCGGGAAAACAGUAUUUUCCACACUGUAGAAUAAAGUUUUUCCUUUUACAUUCAUGAAUGUUGCUUCUUUAGGACUUCUAAUGAGCGUGAAAACAAUGUAGCCUAUUGACUUUUUCCUUUUAAAAUUUCAAUUAAAUGUUCUCAAUUGAUCGAGAUUGAUUGCGCUUCCCAAUAACAAAUACCUAUAGUCUGGUACUAUUUUGGCUAAUAUUUUAUUCUUUGUACCGUUAACUAGAUUUUGAAAUCAUUUCAUUUUUGUUCAGUUAGAUGCCUUUAAAUUAUUAAUCUUUAUUCUCACCACAUUGACAAUUUAAGUGACCUUUGUAAAUUUGGUGUAUAUUUCUGGAAUCAUUUCAAGUUUGAGAUGCUCAAUCUUCACUAACUUAUUAUUAACUAAAUGAUUUAUUAUAGGAUCAAAAGUUGGUUUAGUUUCUUUUAAGUUUUCCAUCAAGAUUUCCUUAAUGCUUAUUUCAUUUGUAUGAUAAUUUUUUUAAAAACUUCUUGUAUACCACUUUCAACUCCUCUAGGAAACAGGAACAAGAUCCAUCUAUUUAUGUAUAUUUUCAAACAUUUGAGGCAUAUAUUAAUUGCCUUUUUUCCCUAAUUCUUCCCCAAAACAAACUUGUGGAGAGACAUUUGUCUGACAUUAAUUGUUCUGCCCCACAGGGGUCUUCAAGUUCAGAAUGUCAAUGUCAUAAUUCCAUAUAUUAGCACAUUUAAUGUGGAAGCUUCCACUGACAAAAUAUUUUCCAUUGAAAUGUUUGAGGUACUUAAUCCUUGUAAAGUCCUAAACUGGGCUCUGAGGUUUGGGAUUGUUGGCAUGGCUAAUCAACUUGUUUUAUUCUUUAAAAAAUAGCAUAUGAAAAACUAUCGAGACCUUCUUAAGAGGAUAUCCGGGUGGAUGAAACCAGAUGUUCUUCUGUUUGUCCAUUAUUUCUGCCAUAAAACAUUUGCUUACCACUUUGAGAUAAUCUUUUCCGUCAUUUGAAAUUCCAAGUUGAAGGACAUUAGAUAUUGUUAAUUCUUAUAAGAAUUUGCUGCUGAAUUGUUCUCAUCAAAGUUUAAACAAAAGGAUACUAAAUAACCAUCUCUAUAAAACUUUUUCAGGAUGUCAACGAAGAUGAUUGGAUUACUUGGUACUUCUUCGAUGGAAGCACGAUGCCAUCUGCAAACUUACUCCUUUAUUUUCAGGUGAGCUUACCACAGACCUGUUCUUGAGAAUGAUGUUAUAUUAUAAUUUCUUUUCUAAUUUCUCCCUUCCAUUUUCUUUUUUAAGUUUCUCUCUCCAAUGACUGGUCUUCUUUUGUCACGCUAAAAGCCGUUUCAAAUGCAUUCUACGAUCUAGAAUUAUACGAGAUAGCAAGUGUUCUUAUUCCUCCUGAAUGUCAACUUUCUCGUUGAUCGGCAUUUUACUGGGUGUUGUACAUGUUAUUGUAGAAUCAUUGUUAAAAAUGUACAUUGAAAAUGAAACGUGCAAGUAUCUUGCCUACAACGCUAUGGAGUACAUAACAAGAAUUAUUUUUAGGACCAUAUAAACAAAGGUUAGUUUUAGUAGCAUUAGUUUUUCCAUGGUAUUCCUUCAUUGGUUUCUCACUCAUUAUUGAAUGGUAUCUAUUGAUUGAUUCUAUAUUGAGUUUGCAGAAUUUCUUUCUAAAAUCCCAAUCGAGUGAGUGUAAAAUUAGCUUGCUAGAUGAUGCAAUAUUGUUAUUAACUUUAUGCUUGGAUUCCCUAUGAAUGUCACGUGCUAUUAUGGUCAAUGUUUUGAAGUUAUCACGUUUAAAUCAUUGCCUUCUAGAAAGAAAAUCUUUAAUCGUAAUAUGAGGUAUAUCCGCAUACUCAUCACUUCUAUAAAAUUCUGCGAACUUUUACUGUUGUCAUUGGACUGUGUUUUGUGAUUUACUAUUCUCUCAUCUUAUAUAUUCCUUUAUUAAAAUGUUGUUGAGUAUCAUUUGAUAGUUGAUUAUUCCCAAUCAUAGAAGUUGAUCAUAAGUUUCAAAUUAUGUGUUUAGAGAAAGAAGAAAUGUGCGUGCAUUCUUUUAUAACUGGGAAACUGGAAUCGAGCCAAAAGAAGGAGAAGGAUGCUGUAGAAAAUGGAAAAGAUGAAGUACAAAGAAAGAGCAACUAUUUAUACAUUUUAUUAUUGCCUUGGAAUCAAUUGGUAUUCUUAAAUAAUGAGUUAGCAGUUUAACCUUAACCUUGUGGGGUUAAAUCAUUCUUGCAUUAACACAUAUUUCAGUAUUUUAUGUUUUUAGGUUGAAA
RNAcentral lists this long non-coding RNA (3616 nucleotides) under Olea europaea (common olive). Its description in RNAcentral is "long non-coding RNA (OEUR_LNC004925)". Lineage: Eukaryota; Viridiplantae; Streptophyta; Magnoliopsida; Lamiales; Oleaceae. The record is from RNAcentral.